CUGCAAAAGUGGCCAGAAUAGAUCUCCAAAUGGCUCCUUAUCAUACUCCUCUUCUGUUCACACGUGGCUCUGGGUCACAGGACGAUAAACAAAAUUUCUGAAAAAAUUAAGAAAUCUCCCUAUCAUAUUGAAUUUUCAUCAUUUUUAAGUUAGUUGAAUUCUGCUCCAUUUAAGCUAUCUUGGAAGAUGUGACAUUGGUGCACAGUCUACAUAAAUACAACUAAUAGUACCUUCAAGGGCAAAAAUCAGCCUGUGAAAAUGAAACCAAACUGACUGGAAACAGAAGGCACACACUAAAUGGAGGAUCUGAGGUACUAAAAGUUUAAAUAACUUGCUCUGGAUCAAGUAGAUGCAAACUCAGUUCUUCAAAUUUAAGCAGUCUUGUUCCAGAUUUCAUAUAAAACUCCUGCUUCUCGCCACUCCUUACCAAUCCUCAGGUGUUGGUAACAUGGACAGGAGGCACGAGGUUGUGCCUGGUGAGGCACUCCACCCUCAAGUCCUGGUGAGUGAUCCACCCUCAAGCCUGGACUUGUGGCCCUAAAUGUAAACAGGCAUUCUUGUUUUUGUACCCAAAUCUUGUCUUUAAGCCUGCUGUGCCCCCCACCCCAACCUGUGCCCAUAUAAACUGCAAAUCCCAGGCUUCACAAGCAGAAGCGCAGCAGAGUAGCAGAGAAGGAGAGAAGAGAGGAAGUGUUUUAACGCCAGAGGAGUUCUGCUGGGGCUGGUCAGAAAGGAGAUCAGCCGCAGGAUGGCUGAACUCCGGCAGAAGAUCAUUUUCCCAUUCCAUCCCCUCUCCAGCUACCCAUCCCAUCGAGAACCACCUCCAUCACUCAAUAAAAUCUCCCCAUUC
Molecule: long non-coding RNA, 850 nt
Filed under: Callithrix jacchus (white-tufted-ear marmoset)
Lineage: Eukaryota; Metazoa; Chordata; Mammalia; Primates; Cebidae
Description: lncRNA (ENSCJAG00000070604.1)
Source: RNAcentral